CCUACGGGGGGCAGCAGUGGGGAAUAUUGCACAAUGGGGGAAACCCUGAUGCAGCAACGCCGCGUGAGUGAGGAAGUAUUUCGGUAUGUAAAGCUCUAUCAGCAGGGAAGAAAAUGACGGUACCUGAGUAAGAAGCCCCGGCUAACUACGUGCCAGCAGCCGCGGUAAUACGUAGGGGGCAAGCGUUAUCCGGAUUUACUGGGUGUAAAGGGAGCGUAGACGGCAGUGCAAGUCUGGAGUGAAAGGCGGGGGCUCAACCCCCGGACUGCUCUGGAAACUGUACGGCUGGAGUGCAGGAGAGGUAAGUGGAAUUCCUAGUGUAGCGGUGAAAUGGGUAGAUAUUAGGAGGAACACCAGUGGCGAAGGCGGCUUACUGGACUGUAACUGACGUUGAGGCUCGAAAGCGUGGGGAGCGAAAGGGAUUAGAUACCCUGGUAUC
RNAcentral lists this ribosomal RNA (439 nucleotides) under uncultured bacterium. RNAcentral's name for it is "partial 16S ribosomal RNA". It matches the Rfam family "Bacterial small subunit ribosomal RNA", at positions 338 to 794 of the family's 1533-position model. The record is from RNAcentral.